AACGCGAAGAACCUUACCAGGGCUUGACAUGGGGAGGCUGUGUCCAGAGAUGGGCAUUUCCCGCAAGGGACCUCCCGCACAGGUGCUGCAUGGCUGUCGUCAGCUCGUGUCGUGAGAUGUUGGGUUAAGUCCCGCAACGAGCGCAACCCUCGCCUUUAGUUGCCAGCACGUUUGGGUGGGCACUCUAAAGGAACUGCCGGUGACAAGCCGGAGGAAGGUGGGGAUGACGUCAAGUCCUCAUGGCCCUUAUGUCCUGGGCUACACACGUGCUACAAUGGCGGUGACAGUGGGAAGCUAGGUCGCGAGACCAUGCUGAUCUCUAAAAGCCGUCUCAGUUCAGAUUGCACUCUGCAACUCGAGUGCAUGAAGGUGGAAUCGCUAGUAAUCGUGGAUCAGCAUGCCACGGUGAAUACGUUCCCGGGCCUUGUACACACCGAUAGC
RNAcentral lists this ribosomal RNA (441 nucleotides) under uncultured bacterium. RNAcentral describes it as "bacterial SSU rRNA". It matches the Rfam family "Bacterial small subunit ribosomal RNA", at positions 958 to 1397 of the family's 1533-position model. The record is from RNAcentral.